AUUAAUUCAUCUUCUGCUCCUUUCUAUAUUUUUCUCUUUUCCAGUUUGUGCGCAUUUGGAAUAAAAGAGAAAUACGCCUCCUUUUGCUGUGCUUAACUGCCUUCAAACAUAGAAAAGAAAAUCAAGGAA
RNAcentral lists this non-coding RNA (129 nucleotides) under Palpitomonas bilix. The record is from RNAcentral.